RNAcentral lists this ribosomal RNA (434 nucleotides) under uncultured Lachnospiraceae bacterium. RNAcentral describes it as "partial 16S ribosomal RNA". It matches the Rfam family "Bacterial small subunit ribosomal RNA", at positions 341 to 792 of the family's 1533-position model. Lineage: Bacteria; Bacillati; Bacillota; Clostridia; Lachnospirales; Lachnospiraceae. The record is from RNAcentral.
ACGGAAGGCAGCAGUGGGGAAUAUUGCACAAUGGGCGAAAGCCUGAUGCAGCGACGCCGCGUGAGUGAAGAGGUAUCUCGGUAUGUAAAGCUCUAUCAGCAGGGAAGAAAAUGACGGUACCUGACUAAGAAGCCCCGGCUAACUACGUGCCAGCAGCCGCGGUAAUACGUAGGGGGCAAGCGUUAUCCGGAUUUACUGGGUGUAAAGGGAGCGUAGACGGUUUGGCAAGUCUGAAGUGAAAUGCGGGGGCUCAACUCCUGAACUGCUUUGGAAACUGUCGAACUAGAGUGCAGGAGAGGUAAGUGGAAUUCCUAGUGUAGCGGUGAAAUGCGUAGAUAUUAGGAGGAACACCAGUGGCGAAGGCGGCUUACUGGACUGUAACUGACGUUGAGGCUCGAAAGCGUGGGGAGCAAACAGGAUUAGAUACCCUGGUA